AUUGAACGCUGGCGGCAUGCCUUACACAUGCAAGUCGAACGGCAGCGGACCUUCGGGUGCCGGCGAGUGGCGAACGGGUGAGUAAUAUAUCGGAACGUACCUUUCAGUGGGGGAUAACGUGGCGAAAGUUACGCUAAUACCGCAUAUUCUGUGAGCAGGAAAGCAGGGGAUCGCAAGACCUUGCGCUGAUUGAGCGGCCGAUAUCAGAUUAGCUAGUUGGUGAGGUAAAGGCUCACCAAGGCGACGAUCUGUAGCGGGUCUGAGAGGAUGAUCCGCCACACUGGAACUGAGACACGGUCCAGACUCCUACGGGAGGCAGCAGUGGGGAAUUUUGGACAAUGGGCGCAAGCCUGAUCCAGCCAUGCCGCGUGAGUGAAGAAGGCCU
RNAcentral lists this ribosomal RNA (385 nucleotides) under uncultured bacterium. RNAcentral's name for it is "bacterial SSU rRNA". It matches the Rfam family "Bacterial small subunit ribosomal RNA", at positions 30 to 417 of the family's 1533-position model. The record is from RNAcentral.